Molecule: ribosomal RNA, 547 nt
Filed under: uncultured bacterium
Lineage: Bacteria
Description: bacterial SSU rRNA
Rfam family: Bacterial small subunit ribosomal RNA
Source: RNAcentral
GUUCCUUCGGGAGCGAGUACAGCGGCGCACGGGUGAGUAACACGUAGGUAAUCUGCCCUCGAGCCUGGAAUAACCUACCGAAAGGUGGGCUAAUACCGGAUAUGACCACGGAAGUUUCGGCUUCUGCGGUGAAAGGUGGCCUCUACUUGUAAGCUACCACUCAAGGAUGAGCCUGCGUACCAUUAGCUAGUUGGUGGGGUAAUGGCCCACCAAGGCUGUGAUGGUUAGCUGGUCUGAGAGGAUGGCCAGCCACACUGGGACUGAAACACGGCCCAGACUCCUACGGGAGGCAGCAGUGGGGGAUAUUGCGCAAUGGGCGAAAGCCUGACGCAGCGACGCCGCGUGGGUGAUGAAGGCCUUCGGGUCGUAAAGCCCUGUCGAGGGGGAAGAAUCGGCUGCGACCUAACACGUCGUAGCCCUGACGGUACCCCUAAAGGAAGCACCGGCUAACUCCGUGCCAGCAGCCGCGGUAAUACGGAGGGUGCGAGCGUUGUUCGGAAUCACUGGGCGUAAAGCGCGUGUAGGCGGCCCACUAAGUCUGAUGUGA